CCUACGGGAGGCAGCAGUGGGGAAUAUUGGACAAUGGGCGAAAGCCUGAUCCAGCAAUGCCGCGUGAGUGAAGAAGGCCUUCGGGUUGUAAAGCUCUUUUACCCGGGAAGAUAAUGACUGUACCGGGAGAAUAAGCUCCGGCUAACUCCGUGCCAGCAGCCGCGGUAAUACGGAGGGAGCUAGCGUUGUUCGGAAUUACUGGGCGUAAAGCGUACGUAGGCGGCUUGGUAAGUCAGAGGUGAAAGCCCACGACUCAAUCGUGGAACUGCCUUUGAGACUGCUUCGCUUGAAGAUGGGAGAGGUUAGUGGAAUUCCGAGUGUAGAGGUGAAAUUCGUAGAUAUUCGGAAGAACACCAGUGGCGAAGGCGGCUAACUGGACCAUUCUUGACGCUGAGGUACGAAAGCGUGGGGAGCAAACAGGAUUAGAUACCCUGGUAGUCCACGCCGUAAACGAUGAUAGCUAGCUGUCGGGGCUCUUGGAGCUUCGGUGGCGCAGCUACGACAUUAAGUUAUCCGUCCGUCGGGUAGGUACGGCCGGCCGAACGGUUAAAACGUAACAAUAGAAUUAGUACGGCGUGAGACGUGCCGACGGACGACGACGAGGGAGGUAGG
RNAcentral lists this ribosomal RNA (612 nucleotides) under uncultured bacterium. RNAcentral describes it as "bacterial SSU rRNA". The stretch from base 1 to 518 matches the Rfam family "Bacterial small subunit ribosomal RNA", at positions 338 to 873 of the family's 1533-position model. The record is from RNAcentral.